RNAcentral lists this ribosomal RNA (427 nucleotides) under uncultured bacterium. RNAcentral describes it as "bacterial SSU rRNA". It matches the Rfam family "Bacterial small subunit ribosomal RNA", at positions 355 to 774 of the family's 1533-position model. The record is from RNAcentral.
UGGGGAAUUUUGGACAAUGGGCGCAAGCCUGAUCCAGCCAUGCCGCGUGCGGGAAGAAGGUCUUCGGUUUGUAAACCGCUUUUGUCAUGGAAGAAAUUCUUUGAGCUAAUACCUCGGGGUGAUGACGGUACCUGAAGAAUAAGCACCGGUUAACUACGUGCCAGCAGCCGCGGUAAUACGGAGGGUGCAAGCGUUAAUCGGAUUUACUUGGCGUAAAGCGUGCGUAGGCGGUUAUGUAAUACAGCUGUGAAAUCCCCGGGCUCAACCUGGGAACUGCAUUUGAGACUGCAUAGCUGGAGUGCGGCAGAGGGGAAUGGAAUUCCGCGUGUAGCAGUGAAAUGCGUAGAUAUGCGGAGGAACACCGAUGGCGAAGGCAACCCCCUAGGCCUGCACUGACGCUCAUGCACGAAAGCGUGGGGAGCAAACA